CCUACGGGAGGCAGCAGUAGGGAAUUUUCGUCAAUGGGCGCAAGCCUUAACGAGCAAUGCCGCGUGAACGAGGAAGGUCUUCGGAUCGUAAAGUUCUGUUGAAGGGGAAAAAGAGCGGAGAGAGGAAAUGGUCUCCGAUUGAUAUUACCCUUCGAGGAAGUCACGGCUAACUACGUGCCAGCAGCCGCGGUAAUACGUAGGUGGCGAGCGUUAUCCGGAAUGAUUGGGCGUAAAGGGUGCGUAGGCGGCCUGCUAAGUCUGGAGUGAAAGGUACCGGCUCGACCGGUACAGGCUCUGGAAACUGGCGGGCUAGAGAGCAGGAGAGGGCGGUGGAACUCCAUGUGUAGCGGUAAAAUGCGUAGAUAUAUGGAAGAACACCAGUGGCGAAGGCGGCCGCCUGGCCUGUUGACUGACGCUGAGGCACGAAAGCGUGGGGAGCAAAUAGGAUUAGAUACCCUAGUAGUC
Molecule: ribosomal RNA, 465 nt
Filed under: uncultured bacterium
Lineage: Bacteria
Description: partial 16S ribosomal RNA
Rfam family: Bacterial small subunit ribosomal RNA
Source: RNAcentral